GACGAACGCUGGCGGCGUGCUUAACACAUGCAAGUCGAACGGAAAGGCCCUGCUUUUGUGGGGUGCUCGAGUGGCGAACGGGUGAGUAACACGUGAGUAACCUACCCUUGACUUUGGGAUAACUUCAGGAAACUGGGGCUAAUACCGGAUAGGAGCUCCUGCUGCAUGGUGGGGGUUGGAAAGUUUCGGCGGUUGGGGAUGGACUCGCGGCUUAUCAGCUUGUUGGUGGGGUAGUGGCUUACCAAGGCUUUGACGGGUAGCCGGCCUGAGAGGGUGACCGGCCGCAUUGGGACUGAGAUACGGCCCAGACUCCUACGGGAGGCAGCAGUGGGGAAUAUUGCACAAUGGGCGGAAGCCUGAUGCAGCAACGCCGCGUGCGGGAUGACGGCCUUCGGGUUGUAAACCGCUUUCGCCUGUGACGAAGCGUGAGUGACGGUAAUGGGUAAAGAAGCACCGGCUAACUACGUG
RNAcentral lists this ribosomal RNA (468 nucleotides) under uncultured bacterium. Its description in RNAcentral is "partial 16S ribosomal RNA". It matches the Rfam family "Bacterial small subunit ribosomal RNA", at positions 28 to 507 of the family's 1533-position model. The record is from RNAcentral.